UACGGGGGGAGCAAGCGUUGUUCGGAUUCAUUGGGCGUAAAGGGCGCGUAGGCGGCUUGGCAAGUCCGUCAUGAAAUGUACCGGUUCAACCGGGGCACUGUGUCGGAAACUGCCUGGCUUGAGGUCGAGGGAGGAGAGUGGAAUUCCUGGUGUAGCGGUGAAAUGCGUAGAUAUCAGGAGGAACACCAAUGGCGAAGGCAGCUCGCUGGGACGGUACUGACGCUGAGGCGCGAAAGCGUGGGGAGCAAACAGG
Molecule: ribosomal RNA, 253 nt
Filed under: uncultured bacterium
Lineage: Bacteria
Description: partial 16S ribosomal RNA
Rfam family: Bacterial small subunit ribosomal RNA
Source: RNAcentral